Molecule: ribosomal RNA, 253 nt
Filed under: uncultured bacterium
Lineage: Bacteria
Description: partial 16S ribosomal RNA
Rfam family: Bacterial small subunit ribosomal RNA
Source: RNAcentral
UACGUAGGGUCCAAGCGUUAUCCGGAAUCACUGGGCGUAAAGCGUGCGUAGGUGGCGCGUUAAGUGUGAUGUUAAAUCGCGGGGCUCAACCCUGUCGAUGCAUCGCAUACUGGCGUGCUAGAGGGAAGCAGAGGCAAGUGGAACUAGUAGUGUAGCAGUGAAAUGCGUAGAUAUUACUAAGAACACCAAUGGCGAAGGCAGCUUGCUGGGCUUCUUCUGACACUGAGGUACGAAAGCGUGGGGAGCGAACAGG